UUNCUAACCCUUCGACAUGCCACUAACGAAACAGAGAUGCAUCAGGUGCCCGAAAGGGAAAGUGGACACAGGUGCUGCAUGGCUGUCGUCAGCUCGUGUCGUGAGAUGUUGGGUUAAGUCCCGCAACGAGCGCAACCCUUGUCUCUAGUUGCUACGAAAGGGCACUCUAAGAGACUGCCGGUGACAAACCGGAGGAAGGUGGGGAUGACGUCUAGUCCUCAUGGCCCUUAUGGGUAGGGCUUCACACGUCAUACAAUGGUGCGUACAGAGGGUUGCCAACCCGCGAGGGGGAGCUAAUCCCAGAAAACGCAUCGUAGUCCGGAUCGUAGUCUGCAACUCGACUACGUGAAGCUGGAAUCGCUAGUAAUCGCGGAUCANCAUGCCGCGGUGAAUACGUUCCCGGGUCUUGUACACACGAAA
RNAcentral lists this ribosomal RNA (420 nucleotides) under bacterium Brh51(2010). RNAcentral describes it as "bacterial SSU rRNA". It matches the Rfam family "Bacterial small subunit ribosomal RNA", at positions 966 to 1387 of the family's 1533-position model. The record is from RNAcentral.